Molecule: ribosomal RNA, 139 nt
Filed under: Flavobacterium araucananum
Lineage: Bacteria; Pseudomonadati; Bacteroidota; Flavobacteriia; Flavobacteriales; Flavobacteriaceae
Description: partial 16S ribosomal RNA
Rfam family: Bacterial small subunit ribosomal RNA
Source: RNAcentral
UAUACGAUGAAGAGUUUGAUCCUGGCUCAGGAUGAACGCUAGCGGCAGGCUUAACACAUGCAAGUCGAGGGGUAUAGUUCUUCGGAACUAGAGACCGGCGCACGGGUGCGUAACGCGUAUGCAAUCUACCUUUUACAGA